This 397-nucleotide ribosomal RNA is filed under the name uncultured bacterium. Its description in RNAcentral is "partial 16S ribosomal RNA". It matches the Rfam family "Bacterial small subunit ribosomal RNA", at positions 523 to 918 of the family's 1533-position model. The record is from RNAcentral.
AUACGUAGGGGGCGAGCGUUGUCCGGAAUGAUUGGGCGUAAAGGGCGCGUAGGCGGCCCGGUAAGUCUGGAGUGAAAGUCCUGUUUUUAAGAUGGGAAUUGCUUUGGAUACUGUCGGGCUUGAGUGCAGGAGAGGUAAGUGGAAUUCCCAGUGUAGCGGUGAAAUGCGUAGAGAUUGGGAGGAACACCAGUGGCGAAGGCGACUUACUGGACUGUAACUGACGCUGAGGCGCGAAAGUGUGGGGAGCAAACAGGAUUAGAUACCCGGGUAGUCCACACUGUAAACGAUGGAUGCUAGGUGUAGGGGGUAUCGACCCCUUCUGUGCCGCAGUCAACACAAUAAGCAUUCCGCCUGGGGAGUACGGUCGCAAGGUUGAAACUCAAAUGAAUUGACGGGG